GACAGAGGGUGCUAGCGUUGUUCGGAAUGACUGGGCGUAAAGGGCGCGUAGGCGGCUUUAUAAGUCGGGCGUGAAAGCCCCGGGCUUAACCCGGGAACUGCGUUCGAUACUGUAAGGCUUGAGUUCAGGAGAGGAAAGCGGAAUUCCUAGUGUAGAGGUGAAAUUCGUAGAUAUUAGGAGGAACACCAGAGGCGAAGGCGGCUUUCUGGACUGAUACUGACGCUGAGGCGCGAAAGCGUGGGGAGCAAACAGG
RNAcentral lists this ribosomal RNA (253 nucleotides) under uncultured bacterium. RNAcentral describes it as "partial 16S ribosomal RNA". It matches the Rfam family "Bacterial small subunit ribosomal RNA", at positions 524 to 776 of the family's 1533-position model. The record is from RNAcentral.